GGCUAACGCUGGCGGCGUGUCUUAGCCAUGCAAGUCGAGCGGACUUAUGGGGUAACUUAUAAGUCAGCGGCGGACGGCGGAGUAACACGUAGCUAACCUACCCUCUGGACGGGGAUAACCUACCGAAAGGUGGGCUAAUACCCGAUGUAGUCAUCCUGUAUAGGGGUGAUGAAAGGUGGGCUUCUGUUUACAAGCUCAUGCUGGAGGAGGGGGCUGCGGCCUAUCAGGUAGUUGGUGAGGUAACGGCUCACCAAGCCGAAGACGGGUAACCGGUCUGAGAGGAUGUCCGGUCACACUGGGACUGAGACACGGCCCAGACUCCUACGGGAGGCAGCAGCAGGGAAUCUUGGGCAAUGGGCGAAAGCCUGACCCAGCGACGCCGCGUGGAGGAAGAAGUCCUUCGGGGCGUAAACUCCUGGACUGGGGGACGAGGAAGGACGGUACCCCAGUAGAAAGGGACGGCUAACUACGUG
Molecule: ribosomal RNA, 473 nt
Filed under: uncultured bacterium
Lineage: Bacteria
Description: bacterial SSU rRNA
Rfam family: Bacterial small subunit ribosomal RNA
Source: RNAcentral